Molecule: ribosomal RNA, 447 nt
Filed under: uncultured bacterium
Lineage: Bacteria
Description: bacterial SSU rRNA
Rfam family: Bacterial small subunit ribosomal RNA
Source: RNAcentral
UGGGGAAUCUUGGACAAUGGGCGCAAGCCUGAUCCAGCCAUGCCGCGUGGAUGAUGAAGGUCUUAGGGUUGUAAAAUCCUUUCGCCGAGGACGAUAAUGACGGUACUCGGAGAAGAAGCUCCGGCUAACUUCGUGCCAGCAGCCGCGGUAAUACGAAGGGGGCUAGCGUUGUUCGGAUUUACUGGGCGUAAAGCGCGUGUAGGCGGGUCGUUAAGUUGGGGGUGAAAUCCCGAGGCUCAACCUCGGAACUGCCUUCAAAACUGGCGACCUGGACCUAAGUAGAGGCAAGUGGAAUUGCGAGUGUAGAGGUGAAAUUCGUAGAUAUUCGUAGGAACACCAGUGGCGAAGGCGACUUGCUGGACUUAUGGUGACGCUGAGACGCGAAAGCGUGGGGAGCAAACAGGAUUAGAUACCCCCGUAGUCCCUGAGCGGGCUGGCAAGGCGCAU